GUAACGGGAGUCCCGAGGGCGCCGGGCCGUACAGCGCUGGGCCUGGCCGCUGGCUGCCGGGUAACGGGAGUCCCGAGGGCGCCGGGCCGUACAGCGCUGGGCUGGCCGCUGGCAGGGCCCUGGAAGCGGCGGCCGCGCUUUUAACGUUCCUGGUUUGCUCCGCCUGGGCUGGUGCUGGAGACCAGGGGCCCGCUGAACACAGGGGUGUUUCCCGCCGGGGGGGAGCGGGGUUGUCGGAUGCGGUGCCGGUGGUUCGGCUCUCGGCCAGGUAGAGGAGUUGGGUUCAGCAGCCCUCCCCAGCUCAGGGCCCUGAGGAGACUGGAUCUGCCCCCGGCUGAGGGCGCGUGAAAGCGGCAUCUCAGGUUUCUGUCUGGUGCCAUGUCUCUGGCGCCCUGGGACACGCUGCAGGAAGGAGGAGGAAUUAGGGUUUUUUUAAACGCAAAGUUUGCGGAGCUGGCUGUANGUGCCAUGUCUCUGGCGCCCUGGGACACGCUGCAGGAAGGAGGAGGAAGUCAGGGCCUAAUAUUAGGGUUUUUUAAACGCAAAGUUUGCGGAGCUGGCUGUAUACACCAUGUUUAUAGUGGUGCUUUUUUAUUUGCUUUUGUGCUUGUAAACAGCUUCCUGGCAAAAAUACUUAAAUACUGUUCUCUAAAAGGAAACCAGUCGUUUCAAAUACCAUUUCUAAAUAGAUACCAGUAGUAUUAAAUGAAGGAUUAUCUUUUAUUUGACCAACUUGUGUUAGUGAAAGAGACAAGCUUGCGAAGGAUAGAGCUCUUCAGUUUCAUAUAGCAGCAUGGAGACAGCCUCAGGCAGUAUUAUGGAAACUGAUGAAACUAACAUUGGCCAACAGAAACUCGUGGUUUGAACAACAAGGAUUAAGUGAGUCUGAAAAUAUGUGGAUGCUGAUACUGAAGGCUGUCAAUCCAGAUCUAAAACCCACAAGCUGGGAAACAGUGCCCAGUUUACCAGAAUUUUUUGGACAGAAUUCUGAAAAUGAGAAGAACCCACCAAAACCAGAAGUCUUUAAGGUUGGAAUGAAAGAUUUUCAAUGGAUACCUCUCCCAUCUUUCUACAAAGAAAAAGCUCUUAAUAAAAAGAAUCCAAGCUGCUGUCACAUAUCAAAAAGUCAAACUGAGCAUCUAAUGGAAAGAGAGGACCAGGCAGACCAAAACCAGCUAAAUAUUGUUCCUGUAGUUGAGAAAAUAUCCCUUGCAAUUAAUGAUGAUCCAGGUGAGAUCAUAAGAAUGAAACACAGCAGGAAAAGUUCUUCAAAACUGAAAGAAAAAGGAAGGACUGAAAGGUGA
RNAcentral lists this long non-coding RNA (1304 nucleotides) under Gopherus agassizii (Agassiz's desert tortoise). RNAcentral's name for it is "lncRNA (ENSGAGG00000017089.1)". Lineage: Eukaryota; Metazoa; Chordata; Testudines; Testudinidae. The record is from RNAcentral.